AAACAUCUCUUUUUGUAUAUAAUUUAAAGUUUAAUCUGCUCAAUGAUUAAUUAAAUAGCUGCAGUAAUUUAACUGUACUAAGGUAGCAUAAUCAAUAGCUUUUUAAUUGAAAGCUGGAAUGAAGGAUUGAAUGAAAUAAUAAUUGUCUCAAAAUUAAUAAUAUUAGAAUUUUUUUUUUAGUUAAAAAGCUAAAAUAAUUUUAAAAGACGAGAAGACCCUAUAGAUUUUUAUAAUUUAAUUUUAUAAUAAAAAUAAAUUUAUUUUUAAUUAAUAUUUUAAAUUAUUUAAUUGGGGAAAUUAUUAAAUAUAAUAAAUUUUAAUUAAUAUAAAACAAUAAUUAUUGAAUUUAAGAUCUUAAGUAUAGAUAAAAAGAAAAAAAAUACCUUAGGGAUAACAGCGUAAUAUUUAUAGAAAGAUCAAAUUAAUAUAAGUGAUUGCGACCUCGAUGUUGAAUUAAAAUAAAAUUAUAAUGGAGAAGUUAUAAAUUUUUGGUCUGUUCGACCAUUAAAAUUUUACGUGAUCUGAGUUCA
Molecule: ribosomal RNA, 530 nt
Filed under: Ateleute sp. 2 BFS-2018
Lineage: Eukaryota; Metazoa; Arthropoda; Insecta; Hymenoptera; Ichneumonidae
Description: partial 16S large subunit ribosomal RNA
Rfam family: Archaeal large subunit ribosomal RNA (bases 390-530)
Source: RNAcentral